This 497-nucleotide ribosomal RNA is filed under the name uncultured bacterium. RNAcentral describes it as "partial 16S ribosomal RNA". It matches the Rfam family "Bacterial small subunit ribosomal RNA", at positions 28 to 507 of the family's 1533-position model. The record is from RNAcentral.
GAUGAACGCUGGCGGCGUGCCUAAUACAUGCAAGUCGAGCGAACGGACGAGAAGCUUGCUUUUCUGAUGUUAGCGGCGGACGGGUGAGUAACACGUGGAUAACCUACCUAUAAGACUGGGAUAACUUCGGGAAACCGGAGCUAAUACCGGAUAAUAUUUUGAACCGCAUGGUUCAAAAGUGAAAGACGGUCUUGCUGUCACUUAUAGAUGGAUCCGCGCUGCAUUAUCUAGUUGGUAAGGUAACGGCUUACCAAGGCAACGAUGCAUAGCCGACCUGAGAGGGUGAUCGGCCACAGUGGAACUGAGACACGGUCCAGACUCCUACGGGAGGCAGCAGUAGGGAAUCUUCCGCAAUGGGCGAAAGCCUGGCGGAGCAACGCCGCGUGAGUGAUGAAGGUCUUCGGAUCGUAAAACUCUGUUAUUAGGGAAGAACAUAUGUGUAAGUAACUGUGCACAUCUUGACGGUACCUAAUCAGAAAGCCACGGCUAACUACGUG